GCCCUGAGGCCCCAGAUAACAUUGUGCUUUAAACUGUGUCAUAUCAGACGCAAUAAUCACACCUCCCAAAUACUUGGCUCUGAAUUUCGCAUUUAUUUAAAUUCAGCUUUAAGCCUAAAUCUUCAAACACUUUGGCGACAGUGGGAAGGAAAAACUCCCUUUUAACAGGAAAAAACAUCCGGCAGAACCAGGCUCAGGGAGGGGCGGGGCCAUCUGCUGUGAUUGGUUGGGGUGAGAGAAGGAAGACAGGAUAAAGACAUGCUGUGGAAAAGAGACAGAUUAAUAACAGGUGAGAACAGAGAGGGCAGCAUCAUCAGCUCACUGGAAGGUUCAGAAGGUGGUCAGCUGGUAAGGAGCGACGGCCCAGCCCUGUUGUUGACGAUGAAGGUCAUCUGUUUAAGGAGUGAGCUGUUGAUCAGUCUUCACGGAUCAGUGGGCAGGUAUGCCCCAGGGACCUGUCCUAGGGCCCCUUCUUUUCAUCCGCUUGGACACAUUUUCCCCGGUCACUUCCUGGAUCGAUUACAGCAACUCUCUUCUUUUUGGUCGUAGUCAAAAAUCUGUCCAUCAUUAUAUUCCUCUAAUAUGUUUGAUGGUUGUGUUGAUCUGUGUGGGACUGGGGGGAGGGGGCGUUGUGGGUUUUUUUCAUAUAUAUGUGUGUUUAUUUACUUAGGAAAAUGAAGAAAGGUUGAUUGUAUUUUGGUAACUGCAAGUACUGUUGUUUUCUUUUUUCAAUAAAAAAUAUUUUCAAAAAAAAAAAAAAAUCUGUCCAUCAGCUUCAACGUGUCCAGAACUCUGCUGCUCGUAUCAUCACCAGGACCCCUUCUAUGCACCACAUCAGCUCUGCUCUGCAGCAGCUUCACUGGCUUCUGGUUAAAUACCGCAUCAAUUUCAAGACACUUUUGUACACAUUCAAGGCUACCCAUCAUCUCUCGCCUUCAUACCUCUCUGACAUGGUUCAGAUCACCGUUCCUUCUCUGUGUCUCACAUCCUCCUCCUCUCUUUCGCUUUCCAUCCCUUCCCCCCCGGCUAGCCACCGUGGGGCGCAGGGCUUUCUGCUGCUCUGCCCCCCGUCUUUGGAACUCCCUCCCUCCUGAGAUAAGAAACAUCACUUCCCUCCCUCUUUUUAAGUCCAGACUCAAAACUCACCUGUUCACAUUAGCCUAUUACACAUAAUUUUUUCCAUCCUGCUACUUUAAUUUGUUUUAUUUAUUUGCUCAAAGUUUUAUCCUUAUUAUUUUGUAAAUUGUUAUGUUUGUUGUUGUUAUUGCUUGUGUACAGUGUCCUUGAG
This is a long non-coding RNA of Astatotilapia calliptera (eastern happy), 1288 nucleotides long. Lineage: Eukaryota; Metazoa; Chordata; Actinopteri; Cichliformes; Cichlidae. The record is from Ensembl.